Molecule: ribosomal RNA, 552 nt
Filed under: uncultured bacterium
Lineage: Bacteria
Description: partial 16S ribosomal RNA
Rfam family: Bacterial small subunit ribosomal RNA
Source: RNAcentral
UGGGGAAUAUUGCACAAUGGGCGCAAGCCUGAUGCAGCCAUGCCGCGUGUGUGAAGAAGGCCUUCGGGUUGUAAAGCACUUUCAGCGAGGAGGAAGGUGGUGAACUUAAUACGUUCAUCAAUUGACGUUACUCGCAGAAGAAGCACCGGCUAACUCCGUGCCAGCAGCCGCGGUAAUACGGAGGGUGCAAGCGUUAAUCGGAAUUACUGGGCGUAAAGCGCACGCAGGCGGUUUGUUAAGUCAGAUGUGAAAUCCCCGGGCUCAACCUGGGAACUGCAUUUGAAACUGGCAAGCUAGAGUCUCGUAGAGGGGGGCUAGAAUUCCAGGUGUAGCGGUGAAAUGCGUAGAGAUCUGGAGGAAUACCGGUGGCGAAGGCGGCCCCCUGGACGAAGACUGACGCUCAGGUGCGAAAGCGUGGGGCAGCAAACAGGAUUAGAUACCCUGGUAGUCCACGCUGUAAACGAUGUCGAUUUUGGAGGUUGUGCCCUUGAGGCGUGGCUUCCGGAGCUAACGCGUUAAAGUCGACCGCCUGGGGAGUACGGCCGCAAGGUU